UAAUCAAGCACAAAAAAUUGUGACUUAAGUUACCGAGUUGGCUGCUUCAUUUAGACAAUCCUAAAGUUUACUGAUAUCAUUUUGAAGACGGCCACUGAAGCUGGUGUGCAUAAUAUUUAUGAAUUCUUUGGAACUACAAAUACACCUUUUCGAUAUUGAUAUUCCUGGGAAGAUUACAUUUAUGGAAUCCAAGACCCUUACCGCUGGGGAGACUCCUACCAUUGUGGACACAGAUGUUGGGCGAAUUGGUAUAGGAAUUUGUUAUGACAUUCAAUUCCAGUAAUUGUCCAUGAUAUAUGCCUCAAGAGGUGGCUUUACUUCUCCAUUAAACCAUUAUACAAUUAAUUUCAUUUUCAACAUUGGCUUUUGCUAGGUGAUGAAUACAAUUAUUAUGUCCUAAUUUAUUUGCGAGUUUGGAGAAUUAUUAUCAUGGCCUACUUCUCCUGUGUUGUUUUGAUGAAAUUGGGUGCUCAGUUGCUAUGCUACCCUGGAGCAUUUAACUUGACAACCGGACCAUUGCAUUGGGAAUUGUCGCAGAGAACAAGGGCUGUGGAUAAUCAGAUAUAGUAGCAAAAUUUUCCUCUCUACAAUUGAUCGGUGUAAAGGUUUUCAUAAUCACAUAAUUUUCUUUAUAGAGUAAUCAUGAAAACUAAUGUAAAUCAUAUCAUUUUAUAGUCAAAACGAGCAUGCGGUCGGUAUUUGGUUAGUUUAAUAUGUUGGACUAAGAUGUUCUAGAUAAGUAGUGAAGACAUGGUACUUAAUUUCCUUCUUCUGCUGUAUUAUGCUUCAAGAAACACUUGUUUAUAUAAGCCAUGUUUCGGUGUCACCAUAGAUACUAGAACAUGAAUAUCUGAUUGCGCAAAAGGAGUUCUUUUGUGUUCGUCUGUGUUUCUGUUUCUCUAACAAUUCUAAAUGACAGUUUAUGUUGCAACUUGUUCACCUGCUCGAGAUACUGGAGCCAGUUACAUAGCUUGGGGUCACUCAACCCUUGUAGGUCCUGUGAGUAGAUGCUUCUGUGAUACAUGCGGAAUGCCAGCCUUCCUGAACCUUUAAUGGUUUAAAGUCUUUUGAGCAGACAAGUACAUACUUAAGUUUUUGCGUGUGACAGUUUGGAGAAGUCCUAGCCACGACUGAACAUAACGAGGACAUAAUUGUAGCAGAGAUCGAUUAUUCGAUAAUUGAGCAACGAAUGUGACUUGGCUUCUACAUGAUAUUUGUUCCAUGCAUGGUGUUGCAUGCUUAUGGUUUUAUCCAAUCAUACUUUCUAACAAAUUUUAAUUGGGUGCUUGUAUGAAAUUUAGAACGAAUCUCCCUUUGG
Molecule: long non-coding RNA, 1318 nt
Organism: Hibiscus syriacus
Lineage: Eukaryota; Viridiplantae; Streptophyta; Magnoliopsida; Malvales; Malvaceae
Exons: 3
Source: RefSeq, a predicted model, not a curated record